AAACUUCCUUCUCCAGUAUAUAUACUAAAAUUGGAAUGACACAGAAAAGAUUGGCAGAACCUCUGUGUAAGUAAGAAUGACAUGCAAAUCUGUGAAGAAUUCAGUAUUUUA
Sorex fumeus (smoky shrew) is the source of this 111-nucleotide small nuclear RNA. NCBI's taxonomy places the organism in Eukaryota, Metazoa, Chordata, Mammalia, Eulipotyphla, Soricidae. The record is from RefSeq and is a predicted model, not a curated record.